This 403-nucleotide ribosomal RNA is filed under the name bacterium. Its description in RNAcentral is "partial 16S ribosomal RNA". It matches the Rfam family "Bacterial small subunit ribosomal RNA", at positions 355 to 776 of the family's 1533-position model. RNAcentral also lists the same sequence under 2 other names. The record is from RNAcentral.
UGGGGAAUAUUGCACAAUGGAGGGAACUCUGAUGCAGCGACGCCGCGUGAACGAAGAAGGCUUUCGAGUCGUAAAGUUCUUUUAUAUGGGAAGAUAAUGACGGUACCAUAAGAAAAAGCCCCGGCUAACUACGUGCCAGCAGCCGCGGUAAUACGUAGGGGGCUAGCGUUGUCCGGAAUCACUGGGCGUAAAGGGUUCGCAGGCGGAAAUGCAAGUCAGGUGUAAAAGGCAGUAGCUUAACUACUGAAAGCAUUUGAAACUGCAUAUCUUGAGAAGAGUAGAGGUAAGUGGAAUUUUUAGUGUAGCGGUGAAAUGCGUAGAUAUUAAAAAGAAUACCGGUGGCGAAGGCGACUUACUGGGCUCAUUCUGACGCUGAGGAACGAAAGCGUGGGUAGCAAACAGG